ACGCUCGACACCUACGGAGGCAGCAGUGGGGAAUAUUGUACAAUGGGGGAAACCCUGAUGCAGCGACGCCGCGUGAAGGAAGAAGUAUCUCGGUAUGUAAACUUCUAUCAGCAGGGAAGAAAAUGACGGUACCUGACUAAGAAGCCCCGGCUAACUACGUGCCAACAGCCGCGGUAAUCUGAGCGGGCUGGCAAGGC
RNAcentral lists this ribosomal RNA (197 nucleotides) under uncultured bacterium. Its description in RNAcentral is "partial 16S ribosomal RNA". It matches the Rfam family "Bacterial small subunit ribosomal RNA", at positions 328 to 539 of the family's 1533-position model. The record is from RNAcentral.